Molecule: ribosomal RNA, 869 nt
Filed under: Colletotrichum cymbidiicola
Lineage: Eukaryota; Fungi; Ascomycota; Sordariomycetes; Glomerellales; Glomerellaceae
Description: eukaryotic LSU rRNA
Rfam family: 5.8S ribosomal RNA (bases 527-680)
Source: RNAcentral
AGCUCCCAGCGCGCCCGCAGAGUGGCGGUCCUUGGCUUUAAAAGUUCGUGUCCAUGAAUUUUUCCUUCACUAUAUUACGCAUUGCGUGCUUUUUUUUCAUGGGCAAGAACAAAUUCGUUUUUAUGUCUUGAUUUUUCGCUUUGCCACUCAGAGCAACGUCGUAAAAGGUUUGUUUCUUCGGCGAGCCGAUCCGGCCCCAUGGGCUCCUUCCGGCGGAGCUUCCUUUUCGGGACGCCUUCCCGCCGAAGCACAGUUGUAAGUAUGUUCACAUAGGGUUAUAAAAGCGGUAACUCAGUAAUGAUCCCUCUGUUAGGGUGCCUGCGGAGGGAUCAUUACUGAGUUACCGCUCUAUAACCCUUUGUGAACAUACCUACAACUGUUGCUUCGGCGGGUAGGCCGUCCCCUGAAAAGGACGCCUCCCGGCCCGGACCGGACCCCCUGUGGGGCCGGACUCGGCGCCCGCCGGAGGAUAACCAAACGCUAUUUUAACGACGUUUCUUCUGAGUGGCAUAAGCAAAAUAAUCAAAACUUUUAACAACGGAUCUCUUGGUUCUGGCAUCGAUGAAGAACGCAGCGAAAUGCGAUAAGUAAUGUGAAUUGCAGAAUUCAGUGAAUCAUCGAAUCUUUGAACGCACAUUGCGCCCGCCAGCAUUCUGGCGGGCAUGCCUGUUCGAGCGUCAUUUCAACCCUCAAGCUCUGCUUGGUGUUGGGGCUCUACGGUCGACGUAGGCCCUCAAAGGUAGUGGCGGACCCUCCCGGAGCCUCCUUGCGUAGUAACAUUUCGUCUCGCACUGGGAUCCGGAGGGACUCUUGCCGUAAAACCCCCCAAUUUUCAAGGUGACCUCGGAUCAUGUAGCAUCCCCACUUCC